Molecule: ribosomal RNA, 842 nt
Filed under: human gut metagenome
Description: bacterial SSU rRNA
Rfam family: Bacterial small subunit ribosomal RNA
Source: RNAcentral
CGGGAUGACGGCCUUCGGGUUGUAAACCGCUUUUGACUGGGAGCAAGCCCUUCGGGGUGAGUGUACCUUUCGAAUAAGCACCGGCUAACUACGUGCCAGCAGCCGCGGUAAUACGUAGGGUGCAAGCGUUAUCCGGAAUUAUUGGGCGUAAAGGGCUCGUAGGCGGUUCGUCGCGUCCGGUGUGAAAGUCCAUCGCUUAACGGUGGAUCCGCGCCGGGUACGGGCGGGCUUGAGUGCGGUAGGGGAGACUGGAAUUCCCGGUGUAACGGUGGAAUGUGUAGAUAUCGGGAAGAACACCAAUGGCGAAGGCAGGUCUCUGGGCCGUCACUGACGCUGAGGAGCGAAAGCGUGGGGAGCGAACAGGAUUAGAUACCCUGGUAGUCCACGCCGUAAACGGUGGAUGCUGGAUGUGGGGACCAUUCCACGGUCUCCGUGUCGGAGCCAACGCGUUAAGCAUCCCGCCUGGGGAGUACGGCCGCAAGGCUAAAACUCAAAGAAAUUGACGGGGGCCCGCACAAGCGGCGGAGCAUGCGGAUUAAUUCGAUGCAACGCGAAGAACCUUACCUGGGCUUGACAUGUUCCCGACAGCCGUAGAGAUACGGUCUCCCUUCGGGGCGGGUUCACAGGUGGUGCAUGGUCGUCGUCAGCUCGUGUCGUGAGAUGUUGGGUUAAGUCCCGCAACGAGCGCAACCCUCGCCCUGUGUUGCCAGCACGUCGUGGUGGGAACUCACGGGGGACCGCCGGGGUCAACUCGGAGGAAGGUGGGGAUGACGUCAGAUCAUCAUGCCCCUUACGUCCAGGGCUUCACGCAUGCUACAAUGGCCGGUACAACGGGAUGCGAC